AAACUGUCAUUUAAACCCUCUGCUGCGACGACACUGUUUGGCGGAGCAUCUUCUACUUCACCCUCGCUAUUUCGUGGAGCAUCCUCUGCUUCACUCUAUCUAACCCUCGUUGGCCCUCCUACUCCCUCAGCGCAGCGCGCGCUCUUUCUUGCAAACCCUCAUUAAAGGGUGACCGUAGCUGAAGAGGUCCUCAAGCUCUGCAAUGGCAGCGUCAUUUCUCCCAUUGCCUGCAUUGCUUGCCCUAACCUAUAUGCUUAUCUCAAGAACAUGGAUUCUAAUGUUCCUGCACAACUUUUUGAGUAUGACAAACGUUUUGAGCAGUACGGAUGUGAUUACACAUUUUAUAACAACAAUCACCCUGAGGCCUGAGGAGUUACCGCUGGAGUUGAAGCAUUCCUUCAAAAUAGUAGUGGCAGAUCCUCCUUACUUGUGUACUAAAUCAGUAGCCGAAUGAAGAGAAGGCUGAAUGGAUUAUAUAUGUCACAGAUGUUGGGCAGCAGCAACACUUUGAUAUGGUAUUCAAGUGCUGAUCAACUCUUGCCAUUGCUGCUGAGAAAAGAAGGCCGCCAAGUCCAGAGACGCCAACUUCGAGGUGAAAGUCGCUUUCUAAACUGUCCUUUAGAAACAUGAUGGUAGGUGUUAAUUUUCAUGUCUUGCAUGAUUGAUUUCUCUAAUACUAGUUUAGUUUAUUACUUAUUCCUUCUAUUUGUUUGCAGUUAGAUACAUUGAUUUCUCUAAACGAGUUUGGAUUUUGUAUUUUCUUGAUUCGGUUAAACAAUGACAAAUGGCACAGCAUUUGGAGCUUCUCAAGGCAGUAAACUGAAAUAUCUGUUAUUAGUAGCUUAUUAUGUAAUCAAAUAAUAAACUGACAAAAGGCAGAGGACUUUUAAUUUCCACUAACAAACAUUUGAUUCAAUUGCUUAAUAACAAACUAAAAUCAAGUCUAGUUUAAAACCAUGUUAAAUUUACUUAAGAAGAACUUGACAGUGAAGCUUAUAUUUCUUAGGUAGCAAAUAAAUGAAUUUCAUACGUACAAUAUUUCAAUCUUAGUUUUAGGAAAUAAUUAAUUUUAGUUCUUUGUUAAUAAUUUCUUGUUUUGGGGAUGUGAUGCAUCAGUGCUAUUAGAUGAUACAUCAACUUUUACUGGAGAAAUGACAGCAGGUCCUAAUGCUAAUUCUAUUAGAGGUUUUGAAGUCAUAGAUACCAUAAAAUCCCAAGUAAAGAGCUUGUGCCCUGGUGUUGUGUUUUUGUGCUGAUAUUCUUGCUAUUGCCGCUAGAGAUUUUGUUGUUGCUAUUCUUGCCAAGUGCGAAGUUCCUUAGCCCUGGUGUCAGCGUCAAAGAUUGCUGAAAAGGCUGGAUGUUGUUUAGGAGUUAGAUUAGAUUUUUUUUUAGUAUAAAGUUGUUAAUUCUUUUAAAUGUUUAUUUUGGAAGUUGAA
Non-coding RNA from Arachis ipaensis, 1436 nucleotides. Lineage: Eukaryota; Viridiplantae; Streptophyta; Magnoliopsida; Fabales; Fabaceae. The record is from RefSeq and is a predicted model, not a curated record.